CGGGUGAGUAAUGUAUGGGGAUCUGCCUGAUGGCGGGGGAUAACUACUGGAAACGGUAGCUAAUACCGCAUAAUGUCUACGGACCAAAGCGGGGGACCUCCGGGCCUCGCGCCAUCAGAUGAACUCAUAUGGGAUUAGCUUGUAGGUAAGGUAACGGCUUACCUAGGCGACGAUCCCUAGCUGGUCUGAGAGGAUGAUCAGCCACACUGGGACUGAGACACGGCCCAG
Molecule: ribosomal RNA, 228 nt
Filed under: uncultured bacterium
Lineage: Bacteria
Description: partial 16S ribosomal RNA
Rfam family: Bacterial small subunit ribosomal RNA
Source: RNAcentral